RNAcentral lists this transfer RNA (64 nucleotides) under Phyllotreta foudrasi. RNAcentral's name for it is "tRNA-Ala". The record is from RNAcentral. Lineage: Eukaryota; Metazoa; Arthropoda; Insecta; Coleoptera; Chrysomelidae.
AGGAUAAUAGUUAAUUAUAACAUUUAAUUUGCAUUUAAAAAGUAUUGUACACCAAUUUAUCUUU